Molecule: ribosomal RNA, 433 nt
Filed under: uncultured organism
Description: bacterial SSU rRNA
Rfam family: Bacterial small subunit ribosomal RNA
Source: RNAcentral
GUGCAGCAGUCGCGAAUUUUUGACAAUGGGGGAAACCCUGAUCGAGCGACGCCGCGUGGAGGAUGAAGGUCUUCGGAUUGUAAACUCCUGUCAUUGGGGAACAAGGGUGCAUACGUUAACUGCGUGUGUAUUGAUAGUACCCGAAGAGGAAGGGACGGCUAACUCUGUGCCAGCAGCCGCGGUAAUACAGAGGUCCCAAGCGUUGUUCGGAUUCAUUGGGCGUAAAGGGUGCGUAGGCGGCGCGGUAAGUCGGGUGUGAAAUCUCGGAGCUUAACUCCGAAACUGCAUUCGAUACUGCCGUGCUUGAGGACUGGAGAGGAGACUGGAAUUUACGGUGUAGCGGUGAAAUGCGUAGAUAUCGUAAGGAAGACCAGGUGGACGAAGGCGGGUCUCUGGACAGUUCCUGACGCUGAGGCACGAAGGCCAGGGGAGC